GUGGGGAAUCUUCCACAAUGGACGAAAGUCUGAUGGAGCAACGCCGCGUGAGUGAAGAAGGUUUUCGAAUCGUAAAGCUCUGUUGUCGGGGACGAAUGUUGAGACCGAGAAUAUUGGUUUCAAAUGACGGUACCUGACGAGGAAGCCACGGCUAACUACGUGCCAGCAGCCGCGGUAAUACGUAGGUGGCGAGCGUUGUCCGGAAUUAUUGGGCGUAAAGGGAGCGCAGGUGGGAAAGUAAGUCUGUCUUAAAAGUGCGGGGCUCAACCCCGUGAUGGGAUAGAAACUAUUGUUCUUGAGUGCAGGGGAGGAAAGAGGAAUUCCUAGUGUAGCGGUGAAAUGCGUAGAUAUUAGGAGGAACACCAGUGGCGAAGGCGGCUUUCUGGACUGUAACUGACACUGAGGCUCGAAAGCCAGGGGAGCGAACGGGAUUAGAUACCCCUGUAGUCC
This 450-nucleotide ribosomal RNA is filed under the name uncultured bacterium. Its description in RNAcentral is "partial 16S ribosomal RNA". It matches the Rfam family "Bacterial small subunit ribosomal RNA", at positions 354 to 796 of the family's 1533-position model. The record is from RNAcentral.